UAAACUCCCUUUGUUGAGGAAGAUAAUGACGGUACUCAACAAGGAAGUGACGGCUAACUACGUGCCAGCAGCCGCGGUAAAACGUAGGUCACAAGCGUUGUCCGGAAUUACUGGGUGUAAAGGGAGCGCAGGCGGGAGAACAAGUUGGAAGUGAAAUCCAUGGGCUCAACCCAUGAACUGCUUUCAAAACUGUUUUUCUUGAGUAGUGCAGAGGUAGGCGGAAUUCCCGGUGUAGCGGUGGAAUGCGUAGAUAUCGGGAGGAACACCAGUGGCGAAGGCGGCCUACUGGGCACCAACUGACGCUGAGGCUCGAAAGUGUGGGUAGCAAACAGGAUUAGAUACCCUGGUAGUCCACACCGUAAACGAUGAUUACUAGGUGUUGGAGGAUUGACCCCUUCAGUGCCGCAGUUAACACAAUAAGUAAUCCACCUGGGGAGUACGACCGCAAGGUUGAAACUCAAAGGAAUUGACGGGGGCCCGCACAAGCAGUGGAGUAUGUGGUUUAAUUCGACGCAACGCGAAGAACCUUACCAAGUCUUGACAUCCCUUGACGAUGCUGGAAACAGCAUUUCUCUUCGGAGCAAGGAGACAGGUGGUGCAUGGUUGUCGUCAGCUCGUGUCGUGAGAUGUUGGGUUAAGUCCCGCAACGAGCGCAACCCUUAUGGUCAGUUACUACGCAAGAGGACUCUGGCCGGACUGC
This 700-nucleotide ribosomal RNA is filed under the name Faecalibacterium prausnitzii. RNAcentral's name for it is "bacterial SSU rRNA". It matches the Rfam family "Bacterial small subunit ribosomal RNA", at positions 426 to 1152 of the family's 1533-position model. The record is from RNAcentral. Lineage: Bacteria; Bacillati; Bacillota; Clostridia; Eubacteriales; Oscillospiraceae.